GUGCUCGCUUCAGCAGCACAUAUAAUAAAAUUGGAAAGAUACAGAGGAGAUUAGCAUGGCCCUUGCACUAGGAUGACAUGUAAAUUCGUGAAGUGUUCCAAUUUUUU
Zalophus californianus (California sea lion) is the source of this 107-nucleotide small nuclear RNA. The record is from Ensembl. NCBI's taxonomy places the organism in Eukaryota, Metazoa, Chordata, Mammalia, Carnivora, Otariidae.